GUGCUGUUUUGGCAGCACAUGCACACAAAUUGGAACAAUACAGAGAAGAUUAGUAAGGCCCCUGUGCAAGGAUGACGUACAAAUUUGUGAGGUAUUCCAUAUAAAA
This is a small nuclear RNA of Callithrix jacchus (white-tufted-ear marmoset), 106 nucleotides long. Lineage: Eukaryota; Metazoa; Chordata; Mammalia; Primates; Cebidae. The record is from Ensembl.